UGCGUACAUAAUAGCUGCAGUUACACAGAUUUCCGCUUUCCACGGCGUGGAAUUAACGCGUCCGGCGUCCCUUUUUAAUAGGAGAGCAGGAUAUGAGAACGAUACGGUUACAGAAGGUAAUAUUGAAAGAGAUCAGCUUAAAACUCGAGUGUUGCUCGUUUAUGGAGUCGCCAUUUUGUCGGUAUCCGACACGACGUGUCUCGUGAUGCAAGAAACGUGAGGCAGGCCAGUGUUAACGAGCUCUCUGGGUAUCAGUAACGUAGAAACGAACGGAGCAUACGACGGAAGUCCACAACCUCUGUAUUGUUUAUGCAGUCCGCGUAGAAAGGGAGUAACGCGGAGUGGCCGCGCUGCGCAUCGUUUGCCCCACUACUCAGGAAAGCGCUCUUAAACAUUGAAAACGCGCCAAUUGCCGACAUGCGCACGCAAACGCGAUGGUCAAAUGCAAGAAACGUCAUGGUCGUUGCACUUUGUCCGAAGAAAUUAUCAAGAUAUCUCUUUACACUUUGCCAGUUUCUUUGGAUUUCAAUCUAACGCGACGGUGCUUCAUCGUGGAACCACUGGGAUCAAACAAGUUAAUUGUUAUACUAAUUAAAAAAAGAUAACGCGUUUGGGUUUCGCGGUUGCACGAAGGCUCUCGAGGGGACAGUUCGAGAUCAAUAAUCGAAUAUCGCUAGAUCUCUCGAUUCCGGCGAGGUAAGCAAUGCUCUUUCGACGUCGAUAGGUUGCAGUCGAGAAUCGUUCAGAAGCAAAACACUGUCGAUUGCGUAAAGUCGAAUGCACAGCAGGGAAGCAUGAAAUCAAAGGAAGUUCCACUUGUAUAAAUUAGAGGGAUUAUUCUUUCUGUGUAUUGAUAUUUCAUCGUAUUCCUGUUCUAUGCAACAGGUAUUGUAAAUAGGUUAGUAUAUAUUGAGCAUGCACUUCAUUUUUGGCUUUGAUAUAAUUAAGACGUGUUAUAAUAUGAU
This is a long non-coding RNA of Osmia bicornis bicornis, 965 nucleotides long. RefSeq lists it as uncharacterized. Lineage: Eukaryota; Metazoa; Arthropoda; Insecta; Hymenoptera; Megachilidae. The record is from RefSeq and is a predicted model, not a curated record. The transcript has 3 exons.